UUGAGGUAGGUCUGUAGAGCUAUGAACUUCCCUCUCAGGACUGCUUUCACUGUGUCCCACAGAUUUUGGUUCUUUGUGGUUUAAAAGAAAUAUUUAAGUUAUAAUGACUUAAAAUCCUGUCUAAUUUUCUCACCCUUUAGAAUGUCAUGUUUUUGGAUUUGGCAAAAUUAUAUGACUUUCAGUACAUUUAAAGAAAGGAAUUAGGGAUUCUACAGUAAUGAGCAGUCGUUUUAGGUUACUUGUCUUUUAACUUUUGUAUAUUAACCUAUAGAAGGACAAUAGACAUAAUUUACUAAUAAAGAGGACUAAGAGAAUACCGAAUCAGGCAACUAUCAUAAACUUUUUAAAACCCUCUAAGACUGAAUUCGUAGAAUUCAAGAUUCAUUCUAGAGUAAAAUCAACUUUGUCAAUUAGAUUGCUUCUUGACUUUUAGACGCAGGCCCACCUAAAAGGGGAGACUGAGAAAAGCUGAGGGUAUGGCAUAUGUUUGUAAAAAAUCAACUUUCCUUCUAAACUGACUCAGUAAGAACUGGGUGUCAAGGAACAUCAAAGCUUCAGAGGGCACAGAAAGAGUCCUCAAUGGUGGAUCCUGGUUUUGUUGUUUCCUCCAGAGCAUUUUACAUGUUCAGUGACAUUUGUUAAUAUGAUAGCAAAUCUGUAAAGCCACUAGAACCAAACAAAGGUCACUUCAAAGUACCCAGCUUACGAAGAAUGGAGCAGCCAUAUCCCUAGGAAAUUAUCAAAGCCAAGCUCAGUU
Molecule: long non-coding RNA, 757 nt
Organism: Myotis myotis
Lineage: Eukaryota; Metazoa; Chordata; Mammalia; Chiroptera; Vespertilionidae
Exons: 3
Source: RefSeq, a predicted model, not a curated record